Struthio camelus australis is the source of this 885-nucleotide long non-coding RNA. NCBI's taxonomy places the organism in Eukaryota, Metazoa, Chordata, Aves, Struthioniformes, Struthionidae. The record is from Ensembl.
AUGCAGUUAAUGAACAUGAGAAAAAGUACAGUCAUCUUUAGGAGAACAGUAAACACACAGGACACCUCAGUAUUACAUCCAUGUAGUCAUCAGGUGAGCUUUCAAAAUCAAAUCCAGUGGCGCUUCUGUGCUUUCAUAGGUCUGCUGUGGACAAAGAGGGGUCAAGUCAUUUCUUCUGGUGUUUGGACAACCAGGUGCUCUAAAUACUACAAAGAGACUACGCCAGAGUCCUGCAAGGUGGUGGCGGUCCCCUUCUGAUGGAAGAAUGGUUGUGCUCAGGCAGUUUGGGCUGCUUCUCUGGAAGAAUUAUAUCCUGCAGGUAAGCUGGCACUGUGCUUGCAGCAGAGGAACUGCCUAUGUCAUCAUCCCUUAAAGGUGAUCCCUUCAGAACUUUCCCAAUGUCUAGAUUUCCUAGUGAACAUUUUCUGUAGGCCCAGGAUGGAUCUAUUUGUGUGCAUGGUAUCUUUUGUGCUUUUGUGUCAGUGAGAGAUAGACAGGGGUCUGUGCUCAAUUACCUGGUGUCCCUGUCCCCUCAAUUGCAAUUGCACAAUUUAUCAGUUCUCCUCACUUUCAAAAUAGGGCUGUGAGUUCAGUUUUCCGUUCUCAAGGAGCAGGAUAAUCCCUGCGCCCUCCUGUGCAACCAUGGGUUUCCCUGAGCUAUCUUAUUCCAUAGAUUCUUUUACAUCCUUCUCUGGAGGUGGUGAUGCUGUGCAGCGCCUAUAAACUUACCAGGAUCCAAGUGCUUUUUCUCCAUUACUUUUUGCAUUCUUCAGAAGUAACUUUUAUGGGUCUGUGGGCUGCCUUAAACCACCUUUGUCCUGGCAUCUGCUCUUAUUCCUGCUCUGCGCUUGGGAACUAGCGAGUUAUGAAGUACUUAGGGACGUU